Molecule: ribosomal RNA, 3377 nt
Organism: Thrips palmi
Lineage: Eukaryota; Metazoa; Arthropoda; Insecta; Thysanoptera; Thripidae
Source: RefSeq, a predicted model, not a curated record
CACCCUCUUUGUGGCCACGUUCAAGUGGACUGAGCGAGCUGCAAACGCCGUGUUAACGGCCACUCUUACGCUUUCAAACCGAGUAUCUCACGCAGGAAUUAGCGUUAAGGGAGUGUCCGUAAACGGCGUUUGCAGCUCGCUCAAGUCCAACUUGAACGGGGCCACAAAGAGGUGAUAUGCCCGUGUAGCAGCAUGCGGACGUCGUGGGGUCUCCUCAGAGUCGGUUUGCUUGAAGUGCAGACCUAAGUGGGUGGUAGACUCCAUCUAAGGCUAAAUAUGACCACAUGACCGAUAGCACACAAGUACCGUGAGGGAAAGGUGAAAAGAACUUUGAAGAGAGAGUUCAAGAGUACGUGAAACUGAGCUGAUGAAAGCGGACAGAAUCGAAAAGUGCGAACGGAUCUGACUCAGGUGAUCCUGGGGGGAGAGCCAUCGAGACAAAGCCUCGGAAACAUUCAGAACAGAGGGCCAUGCUCGUAACCCCGGGAGAAGCUGCACUUUGCUCAGUAGCAUGUCGCGGCUCGUUGGGAGGCCGGUCUAAGGCCCGCGGUGGAGUCUUCAUUUUCCUUCGGGAGAGUGUCGACCCGCGGUGUCCGGCCGGCGCCGACGGUGUUGUACGGACGGGGCCUCAUUCCGCGCGCAGACGCUCAGUUUGCAACGCGGCAAGGUCCCGUCGGUCUGCGGCACUUCUGCUUUCGAUCCCUGUUAACAUGUGCGCGAGUCAUUGGGCUUACGAAACCUAAAGGCGAAAUGAAAGUGAAGGAACGAGUUUACUUGUUCUCAGGGGUGAUGGCCGCGCUACCAUGCCGACCCGCAACCCCGGGGCGUCACAUUCUCUUUGAGAAGUGGUGCACCUUGAGCGUACAUGUUGGUACCCGAAAGAUGGUGACCUAUGCCUGGCCAGGGUGAAGCCAGGGGAAACCUGGUGGAGGCCCGCAGCAAUUCUGACGUGCAAAUCGAUUGUCAGAGCUGGGUAUAGGGGCGAAAGACUAAUCGAACCAUCUAGUAGCUGGUUCCACCUGAAGUUUCCCUCAGGAUAGCUGGCAUUCUAUAAGUCUCAUCUGGUAAAGCGAAUGAUUAGAGGCCUUGGGGUCGAAACGACUUCAACCUAUUCUCAAACUUUAAAUGGGUGAGAACUCUGGCUUGCUUCGGUGAAGCCACGAGUUCCUCGGAUUGUGAUUGCCUAGUGGGCCAUUUUGGUAAGCAGAACUGGCGCUGUGGGAUGAACCAAACGCGGAGUUAAAGCGCCUAAGACGACGCAGAUGGGAAACCAUGAAAGGCGUUGGUUGCUGAUGACAGCAGGACGGUGGCCAUGGAAGUUGGAAUCCGCUAAGGAGUGUGUAACAACUCACCUGCCGAAGCAACUAGCCCUGAAAAUGGAUGGCGCUGAAGCGUCGCGCUUAUACUCCGCCGUCAGUGCAAAUGGCCUUCGGGUUCUUGAAGCAUUGAUGAGUAAGGUGGUCGUGUGGGUGUGCGCAGAAGGGUCUGGGCGUGAGCCUGCCUGGAGCCGCCCAUAGUGCAGAUCUUGGUGGUAGUAGCAAAUACUCUGGAGAGUCCUUGGAGGACUGAUGUGGAGAAGGGCUCCGCGACAACAGUGCUUGUUCGCGAGUGAGCCGAUCCUAAGCCUAAAGAGAAAUCUUUAGUAAUGUCGAGCCUUUUGGUUCCAUUCGGGCGAAAGGGAAUCCUGUAAGCAUUCAGGGGCCCCGGUUCGGAACCGUAUCUCAGGUACUCUUACUUGUCACGGCGACGUGAAUUGCCCCAAAGACGCCCUCGGGUGCCACCAGGAGAGUUUUCUUUUCUCUUUGAGCUCGCGUACUCCAUGGAAUUCCUUAACGGAGAGAUAUGGAGCGGCUAUGCGAAGAGCGCCGCACUUGCUGCGGUGUUGGUGGUUACUCCUGGGACCUUGAAAAUUUGGGUGAGGGCCACGAGUGCAUCCGACCGGGAUCGUACCCAUUUCCGCAUCAGGUAUCCAAGGUCAAGAGCCUCUAGUCGAUGAACUAAUGUAGGUAAGGAAGUCGGCAAAAUGGAUCCGUAACUUCGGGAAAAGGAUUGGCUCUGAGGUCCUGGAUGUGCCAGGCUUGGAUGGAUGCUCUGCCAACUGCCUCUCUGAGAUAUCGGCGUGUAGCUCUGCCUUCGGGUGGACUGAAAGUCGGCCUGGGUGUGUGGGCGGCGGAGCGGAUGUCCCGGCUUUUAUGCAAUCAUGUGUAGUGGCCAUCGCUAAAAGGACAACUCAGAACUGGCACUGACCAGGGAAGUUCGACUGUCUAAUUAAAACAAAGCAUCGCGAAGGCCCUCGCUGGGUGUUGACGCGAUGAACUUCCACUGUCCCUAUCUACUCUUCAGCGAAACCGCAGGCAAGGGAACGGACUUGCAUAUAUCAGUGGGGAAAGAAGACCCUGUUGAGCUUGACUUUAGUUUGGCUGCGUACAACGACAUGAGAGGCGUAGCAUAAGUGGGAGGCCUUUGGUCGACAGUGAAAUACCACUACUUUCAUUGUUGUUGUACUUACUCAGUUGGGCGGAGGACGGCUCUCCGACAAGGAGUUCUGCCGAUCUUCUCGCACCAAGCAUUUGACGCGGACCGGGUGAGAUCGCACUUGUGCUUUCGACCCACCGCAUACCCAAGUGUGAUCCGAUCUGAGGACACAGCCAGGCGGGGAGUUUGACUGGGGCGGUACAUCCAUCAAAGAAUAACGUGGGUGUCCUAAGACCAGCUCAGCGAGGCCAGAAACCUCGCUUGGAGUAUAAGGGCAAAAGCUGGUUUGAUCCUGAUGUUCAGUAUGCACAGGGACGGCGAAAGCCAGGCCUUACGAUCCUUUUGGCUUGAAGAGUCUUCAGCAAGAGGUGUCAGAAAAGUUACCACAGGGAUAACUGGCUUGUGGCGGCCAAGCGUUCAUAGCGACGUCGCCUUUAAAUGUUGUUGCGAUAGUAAUCAACCAUAGUACGAGAGGAACUGGUUGUUCAGACCUCUGGUUCGUGCACUUGGUCGAGCGACCAGUGGUGCCACGCUACCAUCUGUUGGAUUAUGCCUGAAUGCCUCUAAGGCCGAAUCCGCGCUGGAACAUUGUUGGCAAUGAUACUUUCUGGGGGUCCUGUGUUUCGACCGGUGCGAAACAAUCAAUGUGAUUAUAUAGGUGGCCUCUCUUCGGAGAAGGCUGCCGUUGAAACCCGAACGCCAUGUCCGCUGGGGCGUACUGGCCCGAUAUGUCCUGUCUCGGAUAGGAGUCAGCCCCCAGUGGAAAGACCAAGGGUUUAGUACGAAGUUGGGACUCAGAAUCGUGUGUAAACGACUCAAGUAAGGCAGGGUGUUGUAAGCGGUAGAGCAGUUUUUAUGCUGCGAUCUGCUAAGACUUUUCCCUCUUGCUUUUGAAGAUUCGU